This is a long non-coding RNA of Amphimedon queenslandica, 852 nucleotides long. RefSeq lists it as uncharacterized. The record is from RefSeq and is a predicted model, not a curated record. The transcript is spliced from 3 exons. NCBI's taxonomy places the organism in Eukaryota, Metazoa, Porifera, Demospongiae, Haplosclerida, Niphatidae.
UGUACAUAUAGUAGCAAUCCUAAUUAGCAGCAGGUAGAAGCUGUGGGUAAGUUUCACUUUCAGCAACUAUUAGCUUUUUGUGCUUUGCAAAUUUUUCCCACGCCUCCAGAAAUGAGUUUGCUAAAAUUUUUGUUCCGUCAGAUGUAAUAAGGUCAUACUCUCUAUUCUCUUCUGUUAUUUUUAUAAUCUCUUCGAGACAACUUGACAGCUCUUCAGCAUCUUCAGAUUCAUUCACAAAAAUACCCCAAAAGUGAAUGGCAUCCAUUAAAAAUGCUAUCAAUUUCUUGAUAGAGCUAAUUUUCUCAUGGCAAUCCUUGCAUUUUUCCUCACAUUGAGCAAUAGAUACUUGCUUUUGAUUGAUUGAUGACUGAUGGCUGCUUAUCUCAUUUUGAGCUGAUUGUAGGGAACUUCUGGCAUGAUUUAAACUACUGUCGGCACUUGAAACCUGUUGCUGACAAGUAAAAACAUGAUUUUCAGCCCAGUUGACAUCACUGCUAGUUAUUGCACAAGGUUUUUAAUAUUCCGCUACUUGCUGUUAGUUUAUCCAUACAUAAUAUUGAUCUAGUAUUGCCCCUAGCUUUUUUCAAUAAAAUCUGCUUUAUAAGCCAAAAUUUAUAUUUUCUUUUUAUCCCAUAGGAUUUAUCUGGCAGUCAUCUCUAGUUUUAACCCUAAUUUAAAGAGAAUAAAAGUAAAACUCUCUUUUGGUUCGAGACGUAUUAUUCAUUGAAACAGCUGGAGAUGAUCAACUGCUGCAACCUGAUGAUUUUAUAAUGAUGACUGGAUAUCAGUGGUUCUGAGAAAAAUGACAGUACCUGAAAUACUGGACUCGUUAAGUAAACUCUCCUGGUAAGA